UGUUGGCUGCCUAUAAGUACUCGUCGGGGCUGGCGGUAUUGCCAACCGGUCUACACAUGCGCCCAUCAGUCCAGGAGCCUCCCUAGCAGGGCUGCCUCGCUGGGAAAAGCCAGAACGUGCCAAACGCUUAUCAAAUCGCCAGGUGAGUUGGAAGCUGGCUUUGAGAAUCUGAAUUUGUGGACUUGGGAGGCUGGGAGAGGUUCAAGUCGUUUGGGUUCUGUGCUUGAUCCAGGGCAGGUGAGGCAGGUCGGCGGUGGCAGGAACACCAAGAAAUUCGUCAUGGGAAACAUCCAGUAGAUUCAUCGUCUGGUGAGUGUUUAGCUUGCUUGAUUUUUUUACAAAAUAUUAUUGUUUGUUUGGUUUCUUUUUCACUCUCUUUUGGUUUCAUAUUUAGCACUUUUUAGAUGAUCUAUUGACCCAUGCAGUUGGAAGGAAUGUUCGGCCAACACUAUGCGGAUUAAUUGAUCCUUGUCUUGUUGCUGCUAAGAGUUGCAUCUGAUGCGGAUGUUUUGUAUCGUUCGUAGCAAGAAUUUGGUAUAGAGAGCAUAAUAUAUCUUUCUAGACAGUAAAAAGAUCAAUUGUUCUGGAAGGUGACAUAGUUGUUUACGGGGAGAGGAAUACUAGCUAUUUUGGCCUGAGUAGUCUGAAUUUCUGCAGCUGGCAUCAAGGUUUGGAGCAAUAAUAAUAGCAUUUGGAUUGGUUGGAGAAGACGAUAUAUGUGGUGUAAGUGCAACCUCAAAAAAUAUGUUAUCUUACUAUGUUAUCCCCUUGAUUAUCUAAUGUCUAGAAACAAUAUUUUUCACCUCAAAUGUUGUUAGACUACAAUGAUCUUCUGGAGCACCCAUUUUAUGAUAUCCAUGACAACAAGCUAAAUAAAGAGGGCCUAAAGCUAAAUUAUGUUUUGAUUUCAUUUUAGAAGCAAAAUAAUAAUAGUUUGUCCAUGAUAAUCAAUGAUCUUUAUUUAUCUUAUUGUUCCUCGGGACUGAUUUUAUGGGAGAGAUAAAGAGUAAAGAUAUGCAUCCUGUAGUGCUUACGCCAAAAAUUUCAGGAAGAUUUUGCUUCAUCUUUUGGGGAGCCUAUUGAAACAAAAGGGAGGGAGAAGGAGUUAAGAGAAAGAGAAGGCCCAGCACCUCUAUUUGCAUGUCAAUUCUGAAGUGGAGAGCUGCAUCAAGUAUCUGAAGAGGAGAGAGGAGGAUCCCUACAAGAGUACACUGCCCAAUCUUCUAUUUCAGGCAGCUCAUCGUUCUGAU
Molecule: long non-coding RNA, 1250 nt
Organism: Triticum aestivum (bread wheat)
Lineage: Eukaryota; Viridiplantae; Streptophyta; Magnoliopsida; Poales; Poaceae
Exons: 3
Source: RefSeq, a predicted model, not a curated record